ACGUAGAGUACUCGGCUUUUAA
This 22-nucleotide transfer RNA is filed under the name Anacardium humile. RNAcentral's name for it is "partial tRNA-Lys". The record is from RNAcentral. Lineage: Eukaryota; Viridiplantae; Streptophyta; Magnoliopsida; Sapindales; Anacardiaceae.